RNAcentral lists this RNase P RNA (380 nucleotides) under Actinotalea bogoriensis. RNAcentral's name for it is "Cellulomonas bogoriensis RNase P RNA component class A". It matches the Rfam family "Bacterial RNase P class A". From Rfam's summary of the family: Ribonuclease P (RNase P) is a ubiquitous endoribonuclease, found in archaea, bacteria and eukarya as well as chloroplasts and mitochondria. Its best characterised activity is the generation of mature 5'-ends of tRNAs by cleaving the 5'-leader elements of precursor-tRNAs. Cellular RNase Ps are ribonucleoproteins. The record is from RNAcentral. RNAcentral also lists the same sequence under 1 other name. Lineage: Bacteria; Bacillati; Actinomycetota; Actinomycetes; Micrococcales; Cellulomonadaceae.
UGAGUCGGCCAGGCGGCCGCGUCAGGGGCGUCGCUCCUGCCGAGGAACGUCCGGGCUCCGUAGAGCACGGUGGUGGGUAACGCCCACCCGGGGUGACCCGCGGGACAGUGCCACAGAGAACAGACCGCCUCGAGGUGCUCGCACCACGAGGUAAGGGUGAAACGGUGGUGUAAGAGACCACCAGCGCACCGGGUGACCGGUGCGGCUAGGUAAACCCCACCGGGAGCAAGGCCAGACAGGGAGCGUUCGAGGGCUGCUCGCCCGAGCUACCGGGUAGGCCGCUGGAGGCGCACGGCGACGUGCGUCCUAGAUGGAUGGUCGCCACCCGGGCCGCGUCAGCGGCCGGGGGACAGAACCCGGCGUACCGGCCGACUCAUCCG